UUUAGUUCCGUAGUUUUUGAGCCUUUUACUUCGUCAGUGGAGGAAACGGGGUUUUAACAAGACGUUAUUUUUCAAAUUCACGCCUUUAAGUAUAUUACUGUUAAUUGCUAAAUACAGGAAUUUUAAUGUCAGUGGCAAAUGCAAAACGGACGAUUCUCAAUCCGACAAUCCCCUUCACUGAGAUUAUACCGGGUGGUCUUCACCCAGGAGAGAUGAUUGUUAUACAGGGAUGUGUUCAUAAUGAUGCGGACAGUUCUCCAGCGAUCUACUCCGCAUUCUUCAGCACUCCAAAGAUCCUCUGCUCCUGCCAUUCCACCUGGAAGAAAGGAAGGACACGUAAAUCCACCAAGCUAAGCCACCAAACCCUAUCCGCUACCAAGAUUCUUCCCCUCUCCCUGGUGUCUUGUCUUUUCCUGCCACAGUCUUCAACAAAUCUGCUGUUAUACUGAUUUACCCUUGUGUUUCCAUUGUGUUUGCUGACAGAAGACCAGACCAUCAACAUACAACACAGCAGAAUGAGGGACUCAGCACUCUGUCACUAGCUACCCCGUUCAUGUCUGUUCAUGAGUCUGUUCCAGAGUCCACUACAGUCCAUAAGUCUGCUCCAGCUUUCAGCCCAGAAUACGCUCCUGAGACCAUGCUCCUCAUGACCUCUGCCAAAAGGAGGAAGAAGAGAGGGAGCAAGCAGUCAGUGUCUGCUCCAGUGUGUCUUCCUGAUUGUCCCUCAACUUCAGUCCCUGAAGCCAGUAAUUAGUUCGUUUCUGUUCCAGAGUCCAGUGAUGAAUCCACUCCUGCCUCAGAAUUCCAUCCAGAUUCCCUAGCCAAAAUGUCCGUCAUGCAUGAGGCCAUGCCAGAACCCAUGAGCAAGAUGGAACUUAGACUAAGGCAGACUAGAUUAAUGUCCAGUGUGGCAGAUCCCCCGU
This is a long non-coding RNA of Sinocyclocheilus anshuiensis, 923 nucleotides long. RefSeq lists it as uncharacterized. The transcript is spliced from 3 exons. The record is from RefSeq and is a predicted model, not a curated record. NCBI's taxonomy places the organism in Eukaryota, Metazoa, Chordata, Actinopteri, Cypriniformes, Cyprinidae.